CAUUAGAUGUCUGAAAUGUAAGAAUUGAUUUUUUAAAUCAAUAAUAGUAAAAUAACUAAUACUUCUAAUGU
RNAcentral lists this transfer RNA (71 nucleotides) under Xylocopa virginica. RNAcentral describes it as "tRNA-Lys". Lineage: Eukaryota; Metazoa; Arthropoda; Insecta; Hymenoptera; Apidae. The record is from RNAcentral.